This 253-nucleotide ribosomal RNA is filed under the name uncultured prokaryote. RNAcentral's name for it is "partial 16S ribosomal RNA". It matches the Rfam family "Bacterial small subunit ribosomal RNA", at positions 524 to 776 of the family's 1533-position model. The record is from RNAcentral.
UACGGAGGGGGCUAGCGUUGUUCGGAAUUACUGGGCGUAAAGCGCACGUAGGCGGCUUUGUAAGUUAGAGGUGAAAGCCCGGGGCUCAACUCCGGAAUUGCCUUUAAGACUGCAUCGCUAGAAUUGUGGAGAGGUAAGUGGAAUUCCGAGUGUAGAGGUGAAAUUCGUAGAUAUUCGGAAGAACACCAGUGGCGAAGGCGGCUCACUGGCCCGCAACUGACGCUGAGGCGCGAAAGCGUGGGGAGCAAACAGG